GACGAACGCUGGCGGCGUGCCUAAUACAUGCAAGUCGAACGGAUCUUGUUUAGAAGCUUGCUUCUAAGCUUGGUUAGUGGCGGACGGGUGAGUAACACGUAGGCAACCUGCCCACAAGAUCGGGAUAACAUUCGGAAACGAAUGCUAAGACCGGAUAAACAAUUUGGCCGCAUGGCUGAAUUGGGAAACAUGGAGCAAUCUAUGGCUUGUGGAUGGGCCUGCGGCGCAUUAGCUAGUUGGUGGGGUAAUGGCUCACCAAGGCGACGAUGCGUAGCCGACCUGAGAGGGUGAACGGCCACACUGGGACUGAGACACGGCCCAGACUCCUACGGGAGGCAGCAGUAGGGAAUCUUCCACAAUGGGCGAAAGCCUGAUGGAGCAACGCCGCGUGAGUGAGGAAGGCUUUCGGGUCGUAAAGCUCUGUUGCCAGGGAAGAAUAAGGAUGAGAGUCACUGCUCAUCCGAUGACGGUACCUGAGAAGAAAGCCCCGGCUAACUACGUGCCAGCAGCCGCCGUAAUAC
This 521-nucleotide ribosomal RNA is filed under the name uncultured bacterium. RNAcentral's name for it is "bacterial SSU rRNA". It matches the Rfam family "Bacterial small subunit ribosomal RNA", at positions 28 to 526 of the family's 1533-position model. The record is from RNAcentral.